Long non-coding RNA from Bubalus bubalis (water buffalo), 287 nucleotides. RefSeq lists it as uncharacterized. The record is from RefSeq and is a predicted model, not a curated record. NCBI's taxonomy places the organism in Eukaryota, Metazoa, Chordata, Mammalia, Artiodactyla, Bovidae. The transcript is spliced from 3 exons.
GGGGACACCUGGGGCCAUGGCGGAGCGCCUGGAGUGGGCAAGUGUGUACAGGAAGUUUGAAGACAAGAUCAGGAACUUUUAGGGAAGCGGAGUAGAAAAAGUGAUGCGGUCGAGUCAGGAGGCAUCCGGGAGGGAAACAGAGCUCUUCGUGUGGACUGUCCGACAUUCACCUGAGGCAGUGUAACCAGUGCUCCACCUAUAUGGUAUCACCAGUUCCUCUGUGACCUGUCCAAGCAUCAGAGUCUUUUCCAAUGAGUCAACUUUUCGCAUGAGGUGGCCAAAGUAUU